RNAcentral lists this ribosomal RNA (265 nucleotides) under uncultured prokaryote. Its description in RNAcentral is "partial 16S ribosomal RNA". It matches the Rfam family "Bacterial small subunit ribosomal RNA", at positions 524 to 788 of the family's 1533-position model. The record is from RNAcentral.
UACGGAGGAUCCGAGCGUUAUCCGGAUUUAUUGGGUUUAAAGGGUGCGCAGGCGGGAUGUUAAGUCGGCGGUGAAAUUUUGCAGCUCAACUGUAAAAGUGCCUUCGAUACUGGCUACCUUGAGUGUGGAUGAAGUAGGCGGAAUUUGUGGUGUAGCGGUGAAAUGCUUAGAUACCACGAGGAACUCCGAUUGCGCAGGCAGCUUACUAAACCACUACUGACGCUCAUGCACGAAGGCGUGGGGAUCAAAUAGGAUUAGAUACCCU